GAUCCUGGCUCAGGAUGAACGCUAGCGGCAGGCUUAACACAUGCAAGUCGAGGGGUAUAGUUCUUCGGAAUUAGAGACCGGCGCACGGGUGCGUAACGCGUAUGCAAUCUACCUUCACAGAGGGAUAGCCCAGAGAAAUUUGGAUUAAUACCUCAUAGUAUAGCAGUUUCGCAUGAAACCACUAUUAAAGUCACAACGGUGAAAGAUGAGCAUGCGUCCCAUUAGCUAGUUGGUAAGGUAACGGCUUACCAAGGCAACGAUGGGUAGGGGUCCUGAGAGGGAGAUCCCCCACACUGGUACUGAGACACGGACCAGACUCCUACGGGAGGCAGCAGUGAGGAAUAUUGGACAAUGGGCGCAAGCCUGAUCCAGCCAUGCCGCGUGCAGGAAGACGGUCCUAUGGAUUGUAAACUGCUUUUAUACAGGAAGAAACCCUCCCACGUGUGGGAGCUUGACGGUACUGUAGGAAUAAGGAUCGGCUAACUCCGUG
RNAcentral lists this ribosomal RNA (490 nucleotides) under uncultured bacterium. Its description in RNAcentral is "bacterial SSU rRNA". It matches the Rfam family "Bacterial small subunit ribosomal RNA", at positions 15 to 507 of the family's 1533-position model. The record is from RNAcentral.